AUUGAACGCUGGCGGCAGGCCUAACACAUGCAAGUCGAACGAGUGGCGGACGGGUGAGUAAUGUCUGGGAAACUGCCUGAUGGAGGGGGAUACCUCCUGGAAAGGGAACCAAAUACCCCUUACCAUCAGAUUGGCCCAGAUGGGAUUAGCUAGUUGGUGGGGUAACGGAUAACCAAGGCGCGGACCCCUUGCUGGUGUGAGAGGAUGACCAGCCACACUGGAACUGAGACACGGUCCAGACUCCUACGGGAGGCAGCAGUGGGGAAUAUUGCACAAUGGGCGCAAGCCUGAUGCAGCCAUUCCGCGUGUAUGAAGAAGGCCUUCGGGUUGUAAAGUACUUUCAGCGGGGAGGCGUUACCCGCAGAAGAAGCACCGGCUAACUCCGUGCCAGCCGCCGCGGUAAUAC
Molecule: ribosomal RNA, 406 nt
Filed under: uncultured bacterium
Lineage: Bacteria
Description: partial 16S ribosomal RNA
Rfam family: Bacterial small subunit ribosomal RNA
Source: RNAcentral